AUGGCAACCACCAAAGCCACGGCGUCCUCCCGUGUCCCGCUCCUGCUCUUCGCCGCGAUCCUUGCGGUUGCGGCCUCCGUCCAGGGCCAGGCGACCGCACCGGCACCGGCACCGUCUGCCGGCGGGCAGUGCACGCCGGACUACCUAUCUGCGCUCGGCCUCUGCAUCGACUUCCGGUUGGGCAGAGUCGAUCUCCGCGGGAAGAACCUGGCCAACGAGAGGGAGCGGUGCUGCCGGAAUGUCCGCGGGAAACCCAGCGCCGCGGAGUGCCUGUGCACCGCCUUCAAGCGUGCUCCCGACGUCCCCGACCGUGCUGAUUUCGCCGAGGACGUCAACACCGUGCUCUUGGUCUGCGAUGAGCCUCAGAUCCCCGACCUCGCUUGCCCGGCCUCUACAUCGGGUUGA
Molecule: ribosomal RNA, 405 nt
Filed under: Triticum aestivum (bread wheat)
Lineage: Eukaryota; Viridiplantae; Streptophyta; Magnoliopsida; Poales; Poaceae
Description: partial small subunit ribosomal RNA
Source: RNAcentral